CGGCGUAGACAAGGAAGUUAAGUAGACGAUUAAUUGAAAGGUCUAAAAUGCAAGCUUACUGUUACAGACACGCAGCCCAUCCACAGAGAGGGAGAGAGAGAGAGAUUGCCAUUUUUGUGUCCUCUGCCCUCACGCACCCACACAGUGACCGUAGUUUUCUGUCUUUCCAACCUCCCCAAAGCUGGAAACGGAGUAACUGUUCAUGAUUAUGAACGCCAACUCCUCCUCUUCAACUUCAACUUCAACUUCGACAGCCGGAGCAGGAGCAGAAACAGGUGCGAAUCCUGCUGGUCCUUCUCAAUCAAUGGCUACACCUACAUCAUCAUCAACACCACCAGCUACAGGUACAGGUACAACAGCAGCAGCUAGUAGCGAUGGCUCAGGCAAGAAAGUUAGAAAACCUUAUACAAUCACCAAGUCUCGUGAGAGUUGGACUGAAGAAGAGCAUGACAAGUUCCUUGAAGCCCUUCAAUUGUUUGAUCGCGACUGGAAAAAGAUUGAAGAUUUUGUGGGUUCGAAGACGGUGAUCCAGAUUCGGAGUCAUGCCCAGAAAUACUUUUUGAAGGUCCAAAAGAAUGGUACAACGGCGCAUGUUCCUCCUCCUCGCCCUAAACGCAAAGCCUCUCAUCCUUACCCACAGAAGGCGUCGAAAAAUGUUUUAGUGCCGCUCCCAGCAUCCAUGGCUUACCCUUUAUCGAUGAAUACCUUUGCACCAGGGUAUGCUCUAUGGGAUGAAACUUCAGUGUUAAUAAACUCCGCAACAAGCAAAAUCAUGCCAUCAGAAGAUGAACUUCCAAAUCUUCACGGAGCUGAAGCUGAUAUUGGACCAAAGUGUGUAUCAAGGGUUAGUAACAAUACUGUCAGUGGCCUUGGGACCUCAAGUAGAACAUUGCCAAGUGCUGAGAUGCCAAAACAAGGGAAGCAAGCGCCUGUGCUUCAUGGUAUACCAGAUUUUGCAGGUAUACCAGAUUUUGCUGAAGUAUAUAGCUUCAUUGGAAGUGUUUUUGAUCCAGACACGAAAGGGCAUAUGAAAAAGCUACAGGAAAUGGACCCUAUAAAUUUUGAAACUGUUUUGUUAUUGAUGAGGAACCUUACUGUUAACUUGUCUAGCCCUGAUUUUGAGCCAUAUGUAUGAUGCAUGUGGAAACAAAGAUAAGCAUCAGCGUUUGCAUCUAUCUCUUCGUUAAUUUUUCAUUCCUGAAUGUGCAUGUAGUUUGGUGUGUGCUCCUACAAGAUUCUGAAUAGAAUAAAAGGCCCAGGAAAAAUUUUCCUAUGAAAUAUCUUCGAACAAGUUCUUUAAUUUAUUUGCUAGUUUACAUAUUAUUUUUUUUAUAGAUUCUUCAAUGAUUGUUCUGUAAUCUUGGCUAGUUUACCUCCUUGGUUGAUUUAGAGGAAGGUCAUGUCAUCAUAUGAUGUCAAUACCAAAGCAGUGGGAGUUUCUGCCCUGAAUCAGACCAAUGAUAUAGCAUGUUGAACUACUUACAUUUUGCUGACUUUAACGUGGUGAUGUUGGCUGGAAUUCUUGCUGCAUCACUAAAAUCAAAUAAAUGUGCCUGCUUUAUCUUUCUGCACAUGCCUGGAAGUUCAUUCUGAGACAGACAGUGGCAGCCACGCCAAGGGAGAGUUUAUGAUGGUAGAACAAAGUUUUCUACUGAUUUUCAAGGUCCAUGAACGGUGAACCUUGACGUCUACUGACCUGAAUAGCAAUGGCUGUUUCUAUUCUAUUGACGAUUUGGCCUUCAACCAAACAAGUGUGUAUAUCUUGUGAGACCUGUUCGGCCGUCCCUUGAGAUUAAUAUAUAGUUUUGCAUAUAGCGGGGUACAUUUUGCCGAGGCCUUGUAACUAAAAGAACUAGAACACACGAGGAAAAAGUACUUCCCUUCCCUUCAGACUUGUGAAGUAGGUUACUCUGUAUUAGCAUGACCUCCAUUUGUUGACAAUAUACUGUGUUUUUGCUUCUGUAAUUUUUCAGCUAAGAAAUCGGAUUUCUUUCCCAGGAUU
Populus euphratica (Euphrates poplar) is the source of this 2002-nucleotide RNA transcript. It is a transcript of the gene named protein REVEILLE 8-like, with no coding region annotated. NCBI's taxonomy places the organism in Eukaryota, Viridiplantae, Streptophyta, Magnoliopsida, Malpighiales, Salicaceae. The record is from RefSeq and is a predicted model, not a curated record. The transcript is spliced from 9 exons.